RNAcentral lists this ribosomal RNA (468 nucleotides) under uncultured bacterium. RNAcentral's name for it is "partial 16S ribosomal RNA". It matches the Rfam family "Bacterial small subunit ribosomal RNA", at positions 28 to 507 of the family's 1533-position model. The record is from RNAcentral.
GACGAACGCUGGCGGCGUGCUUAACACAUGCAAGUCGAACGGAAAGGCCCUGCUUUUGUGGGGUGCUCGAGUGGCGAACGGGUGAGUAACACGUGAGUAACCUGCCCUUGACUUUGGGAUAACUUCAGGAAACUGGGGCUAAUACCGGAUAGGAGCUCCUGCUGCAUGGUGGGGGUUGGAAAGUUUCGGCGGUUGGGGAUGGACUCGCGGCUUAUCAGCUUGUUGGUGGGGUAGUGGCUUACCAAGGCUUUGACGGGUAGCCGGCCUGAGAGGGUGACCGGCCACAUUGGGACUGAGGUACGGCACAGACUCCUACGGGAGGCAGCAGUGGGAAAUAUUGCACAAUGGGCGGAAGCCUGAUGCAGCAACGCCGCGUGCGGGAUGACGGCCUUCGGGUUGUAAACCGCUUUCGCCUGUGACGAAGCGUGAGUGACGGUAAUGGGUAAAGAAGCACCGGCUAACUACGUG